GUAGGUGGCUAGCGUUGUCCGGAUUUACUGGGCGUAAAGAGCGCGCAGGCGGUCGUUCAAGUCGAGUGUGAAAGCCCCCGGCUCAACUGGGGAGGGUCACUCGAUACUGAUCGACUUGAAGGCGGGAGAGGGAAGCGGAAUUCCCGGUGUAGUGGUGAAAUGCGUAGAUAUCGGGAGGAACACCAGUGGCGAAGGCGGCUUUCUGGCCCGUUCUUGACGCUGAGGCGCGAAAGCUAGGGUAGCAAACGGGAUUAGAUACCCCGGUAGUCCUAGCCGUAAACGAUGGACACUAGGUGUUGGUGGUAUCAACCCCGCCAGUGCCGAAGCUAACGCAUUAAGUGUCCCGCCUGGGGAGUACGGCCGCAAGGCUA
RNAcentral lists this ribosomal RNA (371 nucleotides) under uncultured bacterium. RNAcentral describes it as "bacterial SSU rRNA". It matches the Rfam family "Bacterial small subunit ribosomal RNA", at positions 527 to 896 of the family's 1533-position model. The record is from RNAcentral.